GAUGAACGCUAGCGGCGUGCCUAAUACAUGCAAGUCGAGCGAACGGACGAGAAGCUUGCUUCUCUGAUGUUAGCGGCGGACGUGUGAGUAACACGUGGAUAACCUACCUAUUAGACUGGGAUAACUUCGGGAAACCGUAGCUAAUACCGUAUAAUAUUUUUAACCGCAUGGUUCAAAAGUGAAAGACGGUCUUGCUGUCACUUAUAGAUGGAUCCGCGCUGCAUUAGCUAGUUGGUAAGGUAACGGCUUACCAAGGCAACGAUGCAUAGCCGACCUGAGAGGGUGAUCGGCCACACUGGAACUGAGACACGGUCAAGACUCCUACGGGAGGCAGCAGUAGGGAAUCUUCCGCAAUGGGCGAAAGCCUGACGGAGCAACGCCGCGUGAGUGAUGAAGGUCUUCGGAUCGUAAAACUCUGUUAUUAGGGAAGAACAUAUGUGUAAGUAACUGUGCACAUCUUGACGGUACCUAAUCAGAAAGCCACGGCUAACUACGUG
This 497-nucleotide ribosomal RNA is filed under the name uncultured bacterium. Its description in RNAcentral is "partial 16S ribosomal RNA". It matches the Rfam family "Bacterial small subunit ribosomal RNA", at positions 28 to 507 of the family's 1533-position model. The record is from RNAcentral.